Molecule: ribosomal RNA, 253 nt
Filed under: uncultured bacterium
Lineage: Bacteria
Description: partial 16S ribosomal RNA
Rfam family: Bacterial small subunit ribosomal RNA
Source: RNAcentral
UACGAAGGGGGCUAGCGUUGUUCGGAAUUACUGGGCGUAAAGCGCGCGCAGGCGGUCUUCCAAGUCAGUGGUGAAAGCCCGGAGCUCAACUCCGGAACUGCCAUUGAAACUGUGAGACUUGAGGAUGAGAGAGGUGAGUGGAAUUCCCAGUGUAGAGGUGAAAUUCGUAGAUAUUGGGAAGAACACCGGUGGCGAAGGCGGCGCUCUGGACCGAGACUGACGCUGAGGCGCGAAAGCGUGGGGAGCAAACAGG